Molecule: RNA transcript, 5375 nt
Organism: Belonocnema kinseyi
Lineage: Eukaryota; Metazoa; Arthropoda; Insecta; Hymenoptera; Cynipidae
Exons: 6
Source: RefSeq, a predicted model, not a curated record
CUGGGGUGAUAGUCAGUCACACAAGCCGGGCUCCAGGAGACCGAUCAUUACCAGGUAUAAAGUGCCCGGGAGUACCAGUAAAUAGAGGCCAACAAACCAACUCAAAGGGGUUGUUCACAGAUCUGUUGCAAGUCCUAGAAAGGAUGUGAAAGAACCAAUUUUCAUUUUCAAAAAAGAAAAAGCAUCAAGUGAUAAUAAAAAAUGACGGGAAGGAUCAAAUUGUCAUUUAGUUCUCCCGUCAAUGAAGAGCCAGAUAGGAAUUUGAUCAUUGGAUCGUUGGAACAGCGGAAGGAGGCUUUUAAAGAGGAUGAAGAACUUAUGAAGGAAACGGAGAAGUUCGUUACAGAAGUAAUUGAAACAGCUGCCUCCGAAGCUUCUAAGAGGAAAUUUGAAAAACAGAAUGCCAGUGAAAGUGAAGGCAGUAGAUUGAAGGGCAACGAUACCCUAGGCGGCUGGAACAACCGUGCCCGCGGCUUCUGCAAUCGAGUCCUGAAUGCAAUCUUUCCGUGCUUCACUAACAAUGAACUGUUUGCCUGGACGCCCUACCGGUAUCGCUUCACGAGACCUUAGCCGACUUCCGGAAGUUCCGUUCAGACGAAAUGAUCGUUUGACACUGUGAUCAUUAGGCUGAUCAGCGCCAGGUCAGGGCCAGGAAUUAUCAUCAACAGAUCAGGCAAUAAUGACAAUGAAAAUGUUAAAAAUAUGAUUUAAUAAAACAAUAAAUGUAUUCGGUGCAACAUACCAUGUCAAUUCAAUUAAACUAUUUUAAAAAGAAAUGGUAGUUUUCCGCAGGUGGUUUUACAAAUAUAUGAUACAAUGAACGUGAUCGGGUUUCUAAACGAACUUUAGUCACUAGGCCAUUGGCGUGUUCGUAAUAAAAUGAAUAAAAAUAAAUAUUUAUAAAUUUAGGCGAAAAUACAGUAUCUAUAAUAAGAAUAUCAUAAUUAAUAUUUAAAUAUAAAGUCCAUACGACAAUUUCACGCUCCAAAUGUCACUGUGAUUAAAUGCUGAAACAAAACAAUAUGUCAUUUCAAUGAUCGAAAAUUCGGAUUCUGCUGGUUCAGAGUCGUUUUUUACGAAUCAUAUUGAAAAUUAUAUAUUGUAAACGAUAUCUAUAAUUUGUAUUCAUAGAGGAAUAUAACAAAUUUCAGAUUGCCUCGAAAUUGUAUGGUAUAGGAAUUUGAAGGCAUACAUAUUUUAUGUGUGUUUAAUUUUGCUAAAUUAAUAUUUUAAAAAAUGGGUUUAAAUGUAUUUAAUUGAGAAAACUUGUAUUGCGAGUUUCCCUGUGUAGCUUUCCAUUUAAGAAAUUGUAAGUUUAAUGACUAUGUUUAUUGCGGAGAAUUGCUUUUUACUAAAAGGUGACGCUUAGCCUUAUGUAAUUGCUGCUGAAAUAUUGAUUAAUAAAUGGAGCUUUUAAGGACCACAUAUAUAUCUAUAUACACAUUGCACGUCCAUUGUGACUCUUUUUUAUCAACAAAAUGCAUUAUUUUCUUCAUAAGUGCUUCAUGAAUUAUGAUUAUAUUUAUAAUUAUUAUUAUGAUUAUGAUUUCCUGAACGCGUACAUCUAACGAAGAGAGUUUUCUCUAGCGAAGACCGAAUAGCAGCUGAAAGAGAAUCAAUAAAUUUCAAGCUUUAGUCACGAAUGUGUACUGCGGCACUCUUGGUGUCCUAUUUUCGUGAUUUACGUUAGUAGCGUGCAACUUUAGUUUGCAUAAAUACACCACCUUAUAGUUCCAUACGUGAUUGGCCGAUAAUGCUAGGCGUGGUUCUUGAUAUAAGCAAUAUCAUAUAUUCUAGGGCAUUAAACUACACUCAAUUAUUGAUUUCACUUAUAACUGAGUAUAUUCAAUCCUAUGAGAAAAAAAAACUUAAGACGUUUAGAAAACAAACAAAGCCAUGUGGAAAAAUCUUCUGGCGCUGGUUUGGCCCAGUGCAGACGAGACUGUUUAGUUUCCAGUCUUGAUGCUGAACUAAUGGUCUGGUCUAGGUCUUGCCAAAAGUGUUAUUUUUUUAUCUAGCUUUUUCUUGCCCUAGACCGGACUCUCUGACCAGCCGCUAGUUAUUGGCUGGUCAGCUAUUAGUUUAAGGGUGGUCAGCCGCUAGCUGCACUCUCUUUAUUUCUAUUUAAUGACAUGGAAAAAAUAAUUUUCUCCCUGUAAGUGUAUUUUCUUUAUCAGCACCAAAUAUGCGAAUGUCUUAUUUUCUAGUAUUUUAGACACCCUGUAACUUUGUCGAAAUAUGCAAACAAAUUGCUCAUCCAAUUUAGAACUUUUUUUAUUUUCAAACAGAGCAUCAGCACCAGAUCUGGGACAGAUCAGAAUGUCCGAGUGACAAAAAAUUCUUGUUUUGUUAUUGUAAAUUUCUCAUUUUCUAUCAGCUGAGUCGCCUUGACUGGCCAGACAAGUCCUUUCAGACUAGACGGUAUAGAUAAAGUCAGAACUAGGCAAUACUAGCGCUAGACCCGGGCCAGAUCAGAUUUACCAACCAGACUAGACAGCCCAUAGAUAAAACCAGAAGUAGACCAGACUUGACACCAGCCAGCCAUGCAAUUUUUCCACAUGGGAACUUACACUACAUUAGGGCAUUAUUUCUUAUUUACAUAAGCAUACCAAGGCAAAAAAUUGUUGUAUCUUGCUUGGUAUUGCCCGUGUUCGAGAUAUUUUUGUUGUAAAGAAUGUUUGUUUUGCAAUUGUUUAAUCUUAUCCCGUCCCGACUUGAAUAUGCAAGCGAGAUCUCGGACAAAAUUCUCGAUAAUCUUUACAGUUUGAGUUUGAAAUUUUACUUAAAUUUUAAAAAUGGUGUGAACAGAAUUUGAAAAAUAUGGGAGUAGAAUCAAAACGAACAAGAAGGCCAAAAAAGCCAUCUUCAGUUCGAGCUCAGCAAACUGAUGAUUUGAUCAAAAUCUAAGGUAUUUGAAUGAGAUUAAAAUCAAAUUUAAAAUCUUAUUUCAGAAAUUCUUCACAUUGAUGAUUUGAUAUUAAAUCAAGUAAUUCAAUAAAAUAAUUUUUCAAGACAUAACUAAUAAACCUAAGUCUAAAGUGAAUAUUCCGAUUACCUCAUAAUCACUCAAACAAGAAAACGAAUGUACAAUUUUUUUAGACAGAAAUUAUUUGCAUGUUAUGCUCUAAAAGGCCCUGACAAUUAAAAAACAAUGCGUUUGCCCUCCCCCAAGCAUUUUCUAAAGCCACAAACUUUUGUAAUUUUCAGUAUAUUUUCUAUCAUAUAGUAUAGAAGUGAUAUUAUUUUUGCUCCUUAUCCAAUUGUCCUUCUCAUAUCUUCUUAAAUUCUUUAAUACUAGAUCAAACAUUUUUCAAAAUUUGUGUGUAUACAAAAUUAUAUAUGUUUUGCAUAUUUAACAGACCCAAAAAAGUCCUUAUUAUAUUUUCGUGGUGUUGUAAAAAAUAAGCAGUUUUUUAAAUUUAUGGGAUGGAAAGCUGGGUAAUAAUCAUUUUGUUUCUCCCCUUCCCACUUAAAAACCCAAUUCUCCUAAUAUUGUAUUAUUCCGACAAUUGACGCCGCACCACGGGCAUGGAUGAGAGGAGCUGUGGGGGAUGUGCGGCGUUCAGUCAGACGUGAAAAUAUAGAGAGAAAAACAGGAGAGAGACAAAAACAGUUCGGAGUCCCUGUAUUGUAUUCCACCUUUAGUCCUAAAACCAGAAUACAAUUCAGGUUUCACUGUAUUGUUUUGACGCGAUCGAAGUUUCCGAUGGUGUUCUUUGGACUUUUUUUGAUUUUAUUUGAUUCCACUUCCAUAUUUUCAAAGUUGUACUGCAUUAUUUAUUAUAUUUACGUGAAAUGUUAAACUGCAAACGUUAUCGGAAAUGUUGCGUCUCACUCGUUUUACGCGAUUUUCGACUAAAAUCAAGAUAUGCGGGACAACUUCUCGCUGUCUUCAAUCUGGAUAAUUCCCAAAAUCGAUGUUUUCUUGUCUCGUCUAGCUCGAAUGCGCAUUUGUGCGGGUCACGUAAAAAAUCAAAGUUGUCCGAUCAAAGUAAAACUUAAAGAAAGUUUUGUGCUAUUUGACAGUAAUGAAAGGGUAAAAUUUUGUCAUUUGGACAAAAAUUUACCAAGCGAGAGGGGCUAAAACUUUUAUGAUUUUCAUGGAUAUCGUCUAUUUAGCGCUUAUUGUCAGAAAUAAACAAUGAAAAUUCAAUUUUUCAGCGCUUAAGCUCUUAAAAAGAAACAGAAGCUUUCUUUUUAGAAAGGGUUCAAUGGAAAGGGUGUGAGAAAACCUAUCGAUACUAUAUAGGCAAAUUUUGUUUCUUACGAAUGAAAGGAUUAAAAAUCGCCAAAAUAGAUGAUAUGCACGAAAAUCCUAAAAAGUUUACCCCCUCCUUCUCGGUAAAUAAUUAUCGAAAUAUAAAAAAGCCUAUAAAUGUCUAUUUAAUAGUAAAACACUUUGUCAAAGUUUCACUUAUAUUGAGAAAUUACGUUUCAUAUAUAUUUGAUGGAAAAACUGAUGUAGGUAUAGGUAUAUAGUAUUGUAUAGUUUAUAUAAUUACUGAUAUAAUAAUUAUAUUAUAUUAUGUAGCAUAUAGUAUUUCUUGUUGAAACGUCCUUAUUAACUUAUGCAUACUUAUGAUAUUUGGAAAGAAAAUUGUUAUAAAGAAGCGUUAUUUUUAAUAAUGGUCCAUUUUUAACCCAAAAUAAACAAAAAAUUUCUAAUGCUAAUUGAGAUUAGAAAAUUUACCAAAACCAAUUUUCAGCUUUUUGUAUUAAAUAUCUACUAUCGAUUUUAGUUAUUCUGAACAACUUUUCACUCAUUUUUAAAUAAAAAGAAUAUUUUUUAAAUCAAUUAAAAGUAACAAGUGGCAAAAUUAAACGAAUAAGUAAUUGGCAAGGAUUUUUCCGAGGAUUUUUCAAUCGGGUGCUGUAAAUAUUUUUACUUUUUUACGUUGUAUAUUAUAAUAAUCAAUCUUCCACUAAAAAGUUCAUUCAUAUCUUUAAUUUAACUCACUCGAAAUGCGGAAAUUUUAAAUAAUUCGACGACAUAAUUGAAUUCCAGCAAGGGAACAAACAAAACAAAAUUAAUAUCAUUCACGUGACAAUCAAUGAAGUAGGUACUCACUUGUGUGUUUGUAAAAUAUCUCGAGUUAAAGUCGAAGUAUGAUAUAUGGAUAAAAAGGAGAGUAUAUUGUAACUGACGAAAAUAUUUGUAUAACUUCCAUACCAUUAAAUAGAGCCCAAUAUUUUUAAGCGAAAUUCUUGUAAGUUAGUAUUAUAAAUCCGACUAGCAUAUCAAUAAAUACAAAUGUGACUAAUUAUUGUAUAAUAUUGUAAAUCAUUAAAUUGAAAAUAGAGAUGAAAUUUUGUUCCUCUCAAUUUGGAUUCCCGAAAGAAAAUACAACACUGUAUAAUGUAUAGAUCGAUGUAUU